This 76-nucleotide transfer RNA is filed under the name Nitrospira sp. Its description in RNAcentral is "tRNA-Lys". It matches the Rfam family "tRNA". From Rfam's summary of the family: Transfer RNA (tRNA) molecules are approximately 80 nucleotides in length. Their secondary structure includes four short double-helical elements and three loops (D, anti-codon, and T loops). The record is from RNAcentral. Lineage: Bacteria; Pseudomonadati; Nitrospirota; Nitrospiria; Nitrospirales; Nitrospiraceae. RNAcentral also lists the same sequence under 17 other names.
GGGCCGUUAGCUCAGUUGGUAGAGCAGCUGACUCUUAAUCAGCGGGUCGCAGGUUCGAAUCCUGCACGGCUCACCA